AACGCACAUUGCGCCCGCUAGCACUCUAGCGGGCAUGCCUGUCCGAGCGUCAUUUCACCGCUCAGGCACCUCUCUGCCUGGUGUUGGGGUCGCUGCACGUUCCGUGGCAGGCCCUGAAAGUCAUCGGCGGGUCCGCUGUAGGUUCCCUGGCGUAGUAAGAAAUCUCUCUCGCCUAGGGCUCUCGGCAGAUACUAUAGCCGUCAAAAUAAGAGCUAGAGAGGAGUGAGGGGGGAUCUUGUAUCCCCUCGCCUCUUUUUCUCUCUCUAUCAAACUUGACCUCGGAUCAGGUAGGACUACCCGCUGAACUUAA
Molecule: unclassified non-coding RNA, 310 nt
Filed under: uncultured fungus
Lineage: Eukaryota; Fungi
Description: partial contains 5.8S ribosomal RNA, internal transcribed spacer 2, and large subunit ribosomal RNA
Source: RNAcentral